GUGCCAGCCGCCGCGGUAAUACCGGCAGCCCGAGUGAUGUCCCAUAUUAUUGGGCCUAAAGCGUCCGUAGCUGGCCGACCAAGUCUCCCGGGAAAUCCACCCGCCCAACGGGUGGGCGUCCGGUAGAAACUGGCCGGCUUGGAACCGGAAGGCUCAGAGAGUACGUCCGGGGUAGGAGUGAAAUCCCGUAAUCCCGCACGGACCACCGAUGGCGAAAGCACUUCGAGAAAACGGAUCCGACAGUGAGGGACGAAAGCUGGGAUCUCGAACCGGAUUAGAAACCCGGGUAGUCC
Molecule: ribosomal RNA, 293 nt
Filed under: uncultured bacterium
Lineage: Bacteria
Description: partial 16S ribosomal RNA
Rfam family: Archaeal small subunit ribosomal RNA
Source: RNAcentral